RNAcentral lists this ribosomal RNA (506 nucleotides) under uncultured bacterium. Its description in RNAcentral is "partial 16S ribosomal RNA". It matches the Rfam family "Bacterial small subunit ribosomal RNA", at positions 30 to 523 of the family's 1533-position model. The record is from RNAcentral.
AUUGAACGCUGGCGGUAUGCUUAACACAUGCAAGUCGAACGGCAGCAUGGUCUAGCUUGCUAGUCUGAUGGCGAGUGGCGGACGGGUGAGUAACGCGUAGGAAUAUGCCUUGAAGAGUGGGACAACUUGGGGAAACUCAAGCUAAUACCGCAUGUACCCGAGAGAGUAAAGCUGGGGACCUUUAGGCCUGGCGCUUUAAGAUUAGCCUGCGUCCGAUUAGCUAGUUGGUAGGGUAAAGGCCUACCAAGGCGACGAUCGGUAGCUGGUCUGAGAGGAUGAUCAGCCACACUGGAACUGAGAGACGGUCCAGACUCCUACGGGAGGCAGCAGUGGGGAAUAUUGGACAAUGGGGGGAACCCUGAUCCAGCAAUGCCGCGUGUGUGAAGAAGGCCUGAGGGUUGUAAAGCACUUUCAGUGGGGAGGAGGUUUGGAAGGUUAAGAGCUAUUCAAAUGGGCGUUACCCACAGAAGAAGCACCGGCUAACUCCGUGCCAGCCGCCGCCGUAA